Molecule: ribosomal RNA, 517 nt
Filed under: uncultured bacterium
Lineage: Bacteria
Description: bacterial SSU rRNA
Rfam family: Bacterial small subunit ribosomal RNA
Source: RNAcentral
CCUGACGCAGCGACGCCGCGUGAGGGAAGAAGGUCUUCGGAUUGUAAACCUUUGUCCCCGGUGACGAUAAUGACGGUAGCCGAGGAGGAAGCUCCGGCUAACUACGUGCCAGCAGCCGCGGUAAUACGUAGGGAGCGAGCGUUGUCCGGAUUUACUGGGUGUAAAGGGUGCGUAGGCGGCAAUGCAAGUCAGAUGUGAAAACUAUGGGCUUAACUCAUAGAUUGCAUUUGAAACUGUGUUGCUUGAGUGGAGCAGAGGCAGGCGGAAUUCCCGGUGUAGCGGUGAAAUGCGUAGAGAUCGGGAGGAACACCAGUGGCGAAGGCGGCCUGCUGGGCUUUAACUGACGCUGAGGCACGAAAGCAUGGGUAGCAAACAGGAUUAGAUACCCUGGUAGUCCAUGCCGUAAACGAUGAUUACUAGGUGUGGGGGGUCUGACCCCUUCCGUGCCGGAGUUAACACAAUAAGUAAUCCACCUGGGGAGUACGACCGCAAGGUUGAAACUCAAAGGAAUUGACGG